GUUCUCUCACUUCUUGAUCUGCUUAUAAGUGUUUACCCAUUUAUUGAUUUACUUGCCUCAUGUAUUGGAUUGGACUUGGCCCAUUUUUAUACAUAAUGUUACCUAUAUAUUACUGCCUUCUUUGGUCUUGAUAUUAAGUGUGUUUUGCCCUCCUAGAUUGUGAAGAAAACGACUUCUCUCUUUUCUCUUCUUCAUCCUCCACCGGUUGCCUUUCUUCUUCCUUGCCUUUGUGGUUGCAAAACCCCUUCCCUGUUGUGUCCUAAGUGGGUACAAUCAAAAGAAAACGAAGUGUUAAAUGGCUGAAGGUUUUGGGUGUUUGAUUCGGUUUAAAUGUAUAGCUGAGCUCGAAAAUACAUCUUGGGGGCAAUCCUUCCAUAACAAAUGAUAUCAGAGCCACAAGAAAGUGGAUUUUUGCUCUACAUCAAUUUAAAAUCCAUUCAAAAUCGACAGAAAUCCAAAAAGAAAGAAACUGUCCAAAAAUCCCUAAAAAUUGAACCUUUAAACUACGAUUCCGGCCAAACCACAAACCUUUUGGACAAAUGGAGGCCGAAGUCUUGUUGUACAGGUGGAGGCACAUCCGAGUGUGGUAUACCUAACAACGAUGAUGACACUGUAUGGAAACUUCAAUAGUGGAACUGGCGACGCGUCCGUCUAUUUCUAGAGGAGCUUUCUUCAGGUAGAAUUUUUCUAAUGUGAUUUCUAAUGAUUUGGUGUUAUUUUUUUAUUUUUUUUUAGGUUAUAUGGCAAAUCUAGACUAUUUUGCCGCUAGACGUUUAGUUUUGCAAUUAUCGUUUGAUCGUGCUACUGCAUUUGUUGAAACUUUAGGAUGAACAGUAAUAGUCCUAAAGUAGCAAAUUCGCAUCUCUUGAUAUUAAUGGAUCAUCAGAGGUGGUCUGCUGGUAAAUUGGUUUAUUCUGUUUAAAUUUCAACAAGUAGCAAGUCAUUUGUAAGGAUGACAUUAGGAUUGGGGUUACCGUGUGAGAUAACCAUUGUUUAUGCUAGAUUUUAGGAAUUACUUGCUCUAAAUUGUUACUUAUUUGAAGUGUUGGAUUUAAUUGCAAGUUUAUAAUUGUUUUCGUGUUUAAUUGUCAUUAAAUCACUAUGUGAGACUGCAUUGUGUGAAAAACUAAAUUUUGUUGAUAUAUAUAUUCGUGUUGCAUUGAUUAUUCUAUUAGAACACUUGAACUUAAUUCGUUUAACAAUUCCCUUAAUAUUGAGAUUUCAAAUCUCAUGAAAUUCUGGAAAUCUAGAAUGGUGUAUAGUGUAGUAUUAGGAUAAUUUUGUGUGACCAAAUUGCGCAUUUUUGGUCGUUCCAUUUUUCAAAAUAUCUCCAUAUUUUGAAGUAGGAAUUUUCAAAGGAAAAGGAAAAAUUUUAAUUUGGCAACAAAAGAUGAAUGUAAUUUUUGUUCAAUAAAAAGUUUCGAAAGCCAUAAAUGGCAAAUUUCUUGCAAAUUUGACAGAAUUACAAAAAGAAGAAUAUAAUGAUCUUACUUACACUUCAAUUAUUUUACAUAUAUCUGAUGUUUAUAAAACUUGAUACUACAAAAAGAACUUUGGAAAAAAAUUGGAGGACUUAUAUUUGUUUAAAUCUACUUCUAACAAGUUUUGUUUGAAAGAUUUUUCAGUGUUAAAAUGGAUCAUUCAAAGGAUUUUAAUGACAAUUUGGAUGUUUUUAACAAGUUUGUUCAAGAUAUUGUUAAUUGUGAUGAAAAAGUAUCUGAAACCUAUAAGGCCAUAAUUUUGCUUAAUUAUAGGCCUGAUUUAUAUAGGAAUGUUAAGAAUGCAAUUCAGUAUGGUAGGAACACCUUAACACAUGAGAUUGUCAAAUAUUCACUUAACAGUAAGGAGAUAGAGCUUAAGGCUUAAAAAGAUGAUAAGAGGAGUGGUGAUGUAUAUAUGAUGAGGAGUAGAAUGAAGUUUAAGCAAAUGAGUCUUGGUAGAGCUUAAGACAGUCGUGACUCGAGUGAUGUAGGUGGUAAGAAGAAGGGUAAGGGUCAGGACAAGUCCAAUGACAGACAGUUUUACAGUUACGGUAAGGCUAGAUACUUUGUUAAAGACUAUCCUAAGAAGAAGGAUAAACAAAAGGGUAAGAUGAGGGGUGAAACGAAUAUAGCUAUAUGGUCGAAUGAUGACCCUAGUGAGGUAUAUUGAUAAUAAACCUAGAGAUGUAAACGAGCCGAGUUAAGCCAACUCGCGAGCUGAAAAUCGAGGCUCAGGCUUGGCUCGAGCUUUUUAGAUCGUGAUUUUUUGGCUCGAAAGGAUCGACUCGAGCCGACUUGAUUUUUAUUUUCAUGCCAGCUCUAUUGCCUUUGUAAAAGAUAGCAGCCAUGCUGCCUUUACAAUUUAUUUUCUAUUUUUAUUUUCGAGUUGGCCCGUGAGCCACAUGUACCGGCUUGAGCUCAGCCUGUCACCCCAAGAUGGGGCUUGGUGAAAUCGGGCCGACUCGAGCUUUUUAUGGGUUUGGGUCACGAACGGUCCGAGCCCACAAGCCAUUUUACCAUCCCUAAGUAAAUCUAGUUACUGCAUGUGCAUCUGUGUGUAAUCGUUUCUGCAUGUGUGUGAUUAUUUAAUUCUAUUUCUUGGUUAUAUGUUGUCUUUCAAUAUGUUUGGCAUGUGCAUUUGCAUGAAUUUGAGAGCAAUUUUAUUACUUGGUGUAAUUGUUUAUCUGCAUAGUGGGUUGUGAUGUAUUAACAGUAGGUGUGUUGUUCGUCCAUUGGUUAUGUGGAGUUUAGAUGCCUAGGGGUGCAUUGGUUAUAUGCAUUGGAGAUGUAGAGUGUGAUAUUUGGAUCAUGAGUGGGGAUGUGAGUAAAUGUCUAGAGUUCUUUAUCUAUGAAGAUCUUGUACAGCACGAGACUGACACUUAUAUUACUUCUGGUAAGUAGAGAACCAUUAUCCAUUUAGGUCGAGAGAAGUGAGGUGGUGAUAGAGAAUUAUCUUGUGGACUUAAGAUCUAUUGGGAUUUACCAGUUAGACAUGAGGUUAGUAAUCAACCUAGUAAUCAUGGUGGGCGAUGAGAGUAAAUAUGUGUUUUCGAAGUUUAAGUAAACAUGUAAUGUGAUAGGAUAAGUGAGGUGAGAUCUUUUCGUGGGGUAAGUUAUACACUUAUUGCAUCUGUGUUGGCCGUUUGAUUGACUAAUUUGGUGUUAGUAUAUUGUUUUGUAUGAACAUAUUUUAAAAAAAUGUAUGUGUUAUCCUAUGUUAUAUCUUUAUUGCAUGUUUAUAUGAUCUUGAUUGAUUACUGCGAUUACUUGUUUUUACUUGGGUGUUUUUGACCUUAGCACCAAUGAGUACAUGAAGCGGGUAUGGUAUGUAUUUCAAGUCCGAAAUACGAGGUAAGAUUUGUGAUCCCAAUUUUUUUGGUUACUUUGAUUAUACAAAUAUUAACUUUGUAUUUUGAUUGCUUGUAGGUUGAUUGGGUAUUAAAGUGAAGAUUUUUUAGAUUUUGAUAUCUAAUAAAUCUUGAGUGAUAAUGUUACUCGUUGGAAUUUCUCAGUUGAUAUUGAUGACUGAAUUAUAUCGACAUCUAGAAUUGAUAACCUGACUCAAAAACUAUUUGGGACUAUUUGAAGUAGACUAAUUUAAUUAAUCUUGCUCGUGGUCCGUUACCUCACUUCUUGGAUGGCUUAUAAGUGUUGGCCCAUUUAUUGAUUUACUUGGCCCUUGUAUUAGAUUGGACUUGGCCCACUCUUAUACCUAAUGCUACCUAUAUAUUGUGAGAGCUUUUUCUAUUUGUGCUAAUUUUAUAUCCUUUCAAUUUAUCUAUAGAAAAGUCUAUAUUGUCCUUAAUGAAACAAUUCUUCUUAUAUUACACAAUAUAUCCCAAUUUUUUUGAACUAUAUUUUAUUUUGAAUUUUUGAAUAUAAACUCAUUCUAGGAUCUAAUAAAUCGGAAUAAUUUACAACAUAUUGUUCAUAUUUUGUAUUUAAUAUAUCAUAUUCUUCAGAAGAUACAUCUAUAUUUUUUAAUUAAGAAAUAAUAUUUUUUAUUGCUUCAACAUUCUUUCUAAUAAAUUAUAUAAUCAUUCAAUUGUAUAUCUUGGCAUUUAAUGAUACAAAUAAUCCCUACGAUUCUCUAAGAUCUUAAAAAGAUUCAUUCAAAUUUUAGCAAAAAUUAAUAGUCUUACAUUAAUUCUAAUUUAAAUUUUUAUUCUUAGAACUGAGUAACCUUCGAGCUCUGAAUAUGUAAAUUGCCUCCUUCAAUGGCCUCUUGCCUUCACAAAAUUUUUACUAUUUCAACUUCUUGCUCUCAUUGUAUCAAUUCUAAAGAAUAAAUCUCUAGAUUUUGAUUAAAGAAAAACUCUCUUUUUGUUAAAAUAAGAAAGAAACUUUCUAUUAGAUCCUUCAAGAAUCUAUGGGAAUAAAGAUUUAGAAACUCAUGUUGUUAUCAAAAUAUUGAAAUUUUAUUUCUAUAAAAAUUUAUACAAGAUUUCAAUUUGGUACACAAGGAUUUCCAGAAAAAAAAUGGUUUUUCAAAUUGAGAAUGGCUUGAGAGUAGCUAUUGAUUACCACUCGAGAUUUCAAGAUAUCUCUAUCCUUUCCUCUGCCUCUAUUUAUACAUACAAAUGAAGCUCUUAUUACAUCAUUGCAUACAUCAGCUAUAUUACUCUUGCCUUUAUAUUAUUUUCUUUCUCGAGUCUACAUCUUCACAUGGAGCUUUUGCCUUUUAUAAAAGAAGCUCUAUUAUUGUCCUCUUUUCACAUGUAUCUUUAUUAAAGGAACUUUAUUAUUGUCCUCCUUCCUUUAUUUCUUCACAUGCAGUUGGGACAAUCUCUUAGCUGGCAGGAUUCUUUGAUAGUGGUAGGAUAUCCUGAAAAUUGAUGCAUGUCGAAUUUUAUAAUAUAAUCCUUUAAGAUCUCUGAUUUUUCAUAUCCUCUAUUUGAAACUAGCAUCCAUUUUUGAUAUUAACAUAGACAUGAGAAUUUUUUAUCACACAAAUUCUUAGCAAUAUUGUAUAUGGCUUGAUUCCAAGUGCUUUUCUAUGUCUGAUCCAUGACUUGGUCAUCUUCGGAACCUUUUUAUCAUUUUCUAUAAUAUCUAUUUGAAAAUUGACUGCGACAUAUUCAAUUGAGAUUAUGUGUUCAACUGGAUAAUAAAUGAUUCCAUCAUAUUCACGACUUAUUGAAUAAAAUUUCAAAUAUAUUUUUUGUCCAUGGGCAAAUCUUGAUACUUCUUUUAUGAAUAUGUCAUCAAAUUUCGAAAUUUCAAUCAAAUCUUUUUGUGGAUAUAUCAAAUCCAAAAAUUCAUAAUCUGUAAUUAUCUUUAUGAAUGAAGGGUCUCUUCCUUCCAUGGCUGUCACUCUAGGAUAAACAUUAUCUCUUGGAGAGAUGAAAUAUGAAUCAAUUAUUUUUAUUUCAUAAACGAUUCUGACUAUUUUGGCAUAUUCUUCUUCUUUUGGAUCUAAAGGGAUCAUAUCAUCUUGGUCUUGGUCUAUGAUACUGCUAGUUUUGGAAUCUUUUUUUUUAUCUCCAUAUAUUACCACUUUUUUAGUUAGUGUUGAAUCUCCUUUUUUAUCAAUUGGUAUGGUGUCACGUCUGGGUCCAUUGUUGCUUUCAGCUGUCCUUAUUUGGUAUUGAUUUGGAAAACUCAUUUCUGAAUUCUUUGGUAUACCUGUCUCAGACAGUAUAUUUUUUAGUUGUGCUGCAAUAGUAUCAACUUCAUUUUUGAGUUUUAUGACCUCUUUAUGAUCCUCAGUAGUGAUAUUCAACAAUAUUUUUAUAUUUGAAUUGAACAUCUCUGAGAUCCGUGUUGCUCCAGUAUUUAUGUCUUCAGAUUCAUCCGUAAGAAAAUCUGUCUUUUUUCUUAUAUGUAGAAUAAAUUGAUAUAAAUCCAUGACUCUGACUUUAUCCAUCAGCAAAUUUUAUGUUUUUACUGAGAAAAUCUGUAAGAAAAUUAUUAACUCCUUUAAUAUGAAUUAUAUCAAAAUUAUAAAAUACUAAAUAAGCUUGUCAUUUAUAGAGCAUUCUGUAUCGAUGUUCUGAUGGUAGUUUAUUCCUGACUAAUCCUGCAACUUGAGAAUUAUCAGUUUCAACAAUGAAUUUUUUAGAUAACAAAAAUAAUGAGAACUUUUUUAUUCCUCUAAUAAUUGCUAGUAACUUUUUUCAUGAGCAAUAUAAUUUAUUUCUACUUGGUUAAAAGUUCCACUUGAAUAUCUACAAAUCUCAUUUAAAAUUGUUUUUAAUAUUACCGUCCAAUAUUUAUCUGAGGCAUCAUUGUUAACAAUCAAAUUAUCUUUUCA
Molecule: long non-coding RNA, 6234 nt
Filed under: Olea europaea subsp. europaea
Lineage: Eukaryota; Viridiplantae; Streptophyta; Magnoliopsida; Lamiales; Oleaceae
Source: RNAcentral